GUUACUCGGUUCAUUUUAUAGCGUUUUGGCGUUGGCAACAUAAGUAUGUACAGCCUAAACGAACUGGCGUAGCUUCCUUCUUUCAAGUUGUAGUCGCUUCUAUGAUUGUAUUUUAUGCAAUGAAUUAUAAAAAGCUACGUGAGUAUUA
This is a long non-coding RNA of Atta colombica, 148 nucleotides long. It matches the Rfam family "Sphinx conserved region 2". NCBI's taxonomy places the organism in Eukaryota, Metazoa, Arthropoda, Insecta, Hymenoptera, Formicidae. The record is from Rfam.